CAUAUCAAUAAGCGGAGGAAAAGAAACUAACAAGGAUUCCCCUAGUAACUGCGAGUGAAGCGGGAAAAGCUCAAAUUUAAAAUCUGGCGGUCUUUGGCUGUCCGAGUUGUAAUCUAGAGAAGUGUUAUCCGCGCUGGACCGUGUACAAGUCUCCUGGAAUGGAGCGUCAUAGAGGGUGAGAAUCCCGUCUUUGACACGGACUGCCAGGGCUUUGUGAUGCGCUCUCAAAGAGUCGAGUUGUUUGGGAAUGCAGCUCAAAAUGGGUGGUAAAUUCCAUCUAAAGCUAAAUAUUGGCGAGAGACCGAUAGCGAACAAGUACCGUGAGGGAAAGAUGAAAAGAACUUUGGAAAGAGAGUUAAACAGUACGUGAAAUUGCUGAAAGGGAAACGCUUGAAGUCAGUCGCGUUGUCCAGGGAUCAACCUUGCUUUUGCUUGGUGUACUUUCUGGUUGACGGGUCAGCAUCAAUUUUGACUAUUGGAAAAAGGUCAGGGGAAUGUGGCAUCUUCGGAUGUGUUAUAGCCCUUGGUUGCAUACAAUGGUUGGGAUUGAGGAACUCAGCACGCCGCAAGGCCGGGUUUUUAACCACGUACGUGCUUAGGAUGCUGGCAUAAUGGCUUUAAUCGACCCGUCUUGAAACACGGACCAAGGAGUCUAACAUGCCUGCGAGUGUUUGGGUGGAAAACCCGAGCGCGUAAUGAAAGUGAAAGUUGAGAUCCCUGUCGUGGGGAGCAUCGACGCCCAGACCAGACCUUUUGUGACGGUUCUGCGGUAGAGCAUGUAUGUUGGGACCCGAAAGAUGGUGAACUAUGCCUGAAUAGGGUGAAGCCAGAGGAAACUCUGGUGGAGGCUCGUAGCGAUUCUGACGUGCAAAUCGAUCGUCAAAUUUGGGUAUAGGGGCGAAAGACUAAUCGAACCAUCUAGUAGCUGG
This 929-nucleotide ribosomal RNA is filed under the name Cortinarius sp. PDD 106352. RNAcentral describes it as "partial large subunit ribosomal RNA". It matches the Rfam family "Eukaryotic large subunit ribosomal RNA", at positions 39 to 954 of the family's 3401-position model. Lineage: Eukaryota; Fungi; Basidiomycota; Agaricomycetes; Agaricales; Cortinariaceae. The record is from RNAcentral.